CUGCCCCACGGCUUCAGGGGUUGCUGGUAUCGGUCCCAGCCAGAACUCUGCGAUAUGUGUGAAUGGCGGCAUCAGCGAGCUGCUCUUUUAGCCUGAACACCUUUGACAACAGCGCCACAGAUCAUCACAGGUACACCGUUUUACUGGCGUCAAGUUGAGCUCCAGCAGAUGACAGCUCAGUGCCAGACUCAUAAUGUCAGUCAACAGCAGAUAUUACAGCCCGACAGUGAAGAAAAGCGACACAAAGUGCAGUAAUGGAGAGUAACGCGACUCACCUCAGUGAAGAUACACACGUGUGUCUGUUGUGUUUCUGCUGCACAUCUUUCCUCUUUCUGACGCUCCUCCACACACUCCUCCACAUCCAGGCGGAUUCACAGCUCCAGUAAAGCUCACACACAGGUCAGCAGUCCAACAUCAGUUCCAGCAAGUGUUCAGACAAGGAGAUCUGUGGCUCUGUGGUAAGAGCGCUGCCCCACGGCUUCAGGGGUUGCUGGUUCAAUGCCAGCCAGAACUCUGCGAUAUGUGUGAAUGGAGAGAUUUUCUGUCUUAGUGUAAGGCAGGGAGAUCGGCCAGCGAACUCAAUGCCAGUGUGAAGCCCUCCUGCUGCAGAACCACAAACUAUCUCCCCAGAUCUUUGACCUGCGCUCAACAGCUGAUGCUCCUCCACACACUCCUCCACAUCCAGGCGGAUUCACAGCUCCAGUAAAGCUCACACACAGGUCAGCAGUCCAACAUCAGUUCCAGCAGGUGCUCAGACAGGAGAUCUGUGGCUCUGUGGUAAGAGCGCUGCCCCACGGCUUCAGGGGUUGCUGGUAUCGGUCCCAGCCAGAACUCUGCGAUAUGUGUGAAUGGAGAGACUUUCUGUGUAGCAGCAGCUGCCAGUCUGGAUGUAGAUUACACCAGUAUUAACCAGUUUCCGAUUAGACGGCUGAGAGUACAAGAAACAGCCUUGAGGAUGAAACAGGUCGUUCCCUGUAGAGCGGCACGGCGGCAUCAGCGAGCUGCUCUUUUAGCCUGAACACCUUUGACAACAGCGCCACAGAUCAACACAGGUACACCGUUUUACUGGCGUCAAGUUGAGCUCCAGCAGAUGACAGCUCAGUAACAUAUUGUCAGUCAACAGCAGAUAUUACAGCCCGACAGUGAAGAAAAGCGACACAAAGUGCAGUAAUGGAGAGUAACGCGACUCACCUCAGUGAAGAUACACACGUGUGUCUGUUGUGUUUCUGCUGCACAUCUUUCCUCUUUCUGAUGCUCCUCCACACACUCCUCCACAUCCAGGCGGAUUCACAGCUCCAGUAAAGGUAUUUAUGAGCUCAUAUUUCCAGUAGAGAGUCCAGAAAGUGUGUUUGUUGUGCUGCUGCUCUGUCGCGUGUAUGUUGGGGGAGGGACUUUCUGUAGAAAGCAUGUGAUUGGCCAGAUUUGGUGUAGAGUCAUCAGUACAGUAUGAGGAGACUUUAGAGGUAAAUGAUGAUAUUUACAGUGUUUAAUUGUGUUUAGUGACAUUUAAAGCCCCACAAGCAGCUGUAAGAUAAUUUGAAACAUGUUCAUGUGUCUGAUUGAAGAAUAAGCAUGUUUGUCACAUUUUGAAUAGUGAAAUAUAAUAAUAUAUUUGCAUAUGAUGCAGUUUACAUUUAUUUAAAAUAAUUUACAUUUGAUAUGAAUUAUUUGUGUUUAUUUAGUUUUUUUUUUUCAAAAUGUGUAGAAUGUGGUUAUCCUCCCAUUGGAGAAAGAAAUGUGGGUUUAUGUGUGUGGUGAUGGUGAAGUGGUCAGAGCACACAGCAUGACAUCUGAAGCUGUCACAGCAUACCUGGGUUCAAAUCCAAGCACUGCUGCUGCUUUUUACUGCUGAGAUAAUCAGAAAAACAACAAAGUAAUUUUAUGUGUGUGUUCCCACUCUAAUUACCUUGCACUUGCAGCGGUGUGAGCCAGACAUCGAGGUGGGUUUCGUACCCAGGCCUCUGUCGUUACCUUGUCCACCGCAAUCUUGUGUUCAUCCACUAGCCCAUCAUGGCUUUCAGUCUGUCAGCUGCUGUUUGGGCCACACUGUUUGAUUGAAUUCCAGCAACCGAAAGUAAAGUAAGCAAUAGUGGGAUUUGAACCCAUGUCUCCUGUAUGUCAGGCGGAGUCUUAUCCACUGAACCACAGGGCUUGACAUCAGGCAGUCGUUGUUUUGUGAGCCAAAUUACAAAGAAAUAUUUGUCAAACCUUGUUCAUGAUGAAAACAGUGAUAAAGCCUCAUUCAGACACAUUGUUCACCAUCUAGACUCAGUGGCUCAAGUCAUAAACUAUUGAUCUUUAAUCAAGGAGACCCGGGUUCAAACCUCACUAUGGCUAAUGUCCAUCUUGACCUCAUUAUACUGACCAGGAGCCCCUGAUGAUGGAACCAAACCCAUGAUGGGUGAAUAAACACAAGUUCUCUGAGGAAGAGACUCAUAAAGACAAGAGUUCAAAUCUGACUUGUAUCUCGAUUCGGUAGAAAUGAGAUUCGAUCCUUCACACUUCUAAAUAGCAGGCGAACGCUCAUCCUUUGAGCCACAGGGUUUGACAUUUGCCAAAAGGUUUUUUGUGGCCCAAAUCACAAAGAAACAUGUGUCAAACCUUGGUCGGUAUGAGAAUAGUGAUAAAGCCCCGAUCUGACCUCUCCUUCGCUGUCCAGACUCAGUGGCUCAGGUCUUAAAGUAUUGAGCUUUAAUCUAGGAGACCCGGGUUCAAACCUCAUCGUGGCUAAUGUCCCACUGAGUUCAUUAUGUUCAUCAAGAUGAUGGACGCUGAUGUGAAACUAAUGAUGGUUGAUGAGUGAAUAAACACAAGUUCUCUGAGGAAGAGACUCAUAAAGACAAGGGUUCAGAUCUGACAUAUAUUCUUGUUUUAUUGAAUCAGCUCACACACAGGUCAGCAGUCCAACAUCAGUUCCAGCAGGUGCUCAGACAGGAGAUCUGUGGCUCUGUGGUAAGAGCACUGCCCCACGGCUUCAGGGGUUGCUGGUAUCGGUCCCAGCCAGAACUCUGCGAUAUGUGUGAAUGGAGAGACUUUCUGUGUAGCAGCAGCUGCCAGUCUGGAUGUAGAUUACACCAGUAUUAACCAGUUUCCGAUUAGACGGCUGAGAGUACAAGAAACAGCCUUGAGGAUGAAACAGGUCGUUCCCUGUAGAGCGGCACGGCGGCAUCAGCGAGCUGCUCUUUUAGCCUGAACACCUUUGACAACAGCGCCACAGAUCAACACAGGUACACCGUUUUACUGGCGUCAAGUUGAGCUCCAGCAGAUGACAGCUCAGUGACAGACUCAUAAUGUCAGUCAACAGCAGAUAUUACAGCCCGACAGCGAAGAAAAGCGACACAAAGUGCAGUAAUGGAGAGUAACGCGACUCACCUCAGUGAAGAUACACACGUGUGUCUGUUGUGUUUCUGCUGCACAUCUUUCCUCUUUCUGAUGCUCCUCCACACACUCCUCCACAUCCAGGCGGAUUCACAGCUCCAGUAAAGCUCACACACAGGUCAGCAGUCCAACAUCAGUUCCAGCAGGUGCUCAGACAGGAGAUCUGUGGCUCUGUGGUAAGAGCGCUGCCCCACGGCUUCAGGGGUUGCUGGUAUCGGUCCCAGCCAGAACUCUGCGAUAUGUGUGAAUGGAGAGACUUUCUGUGUAGCAGCAGCUGCCAGUCUGGAUGUAGAUUACACCAGUAUUCAACCAGUUUCCGAUUAGACGGCUGAGAGUACAAGAAACAGCCUUGAGGAUGAAACAGGUCGUUCCCUGUAGAGCGGCACGGCGGCAUCAGCGAGCUGCUCUUUUAGCCUGAACACCUUUGACAACAGCGCCACAGAUCAACACAGGUACACCGUUUUACUGGCGUCAAGUUGAGCUCCAGCAGAUGACAGCUCAGUGCCAGACUCAUAAUGUCAGUCAACAGCAGAUAUUACAGCCCGACAGCGAAGAAAAGCGACACAGAGAGCAGAAAUGGAGAGUAACGCGACUCACCUCAGUGAAGAUACACACGUGUGUCUGUUGUGUUUCUGCUGCACAUCUUUCCUCUUUCUGACGCUCCUCCACACACUCCUCCACAUCCAGGCGGAUUCACAGCUCCAGUAAAGGUAUUUAUGAGCUCAUAUUUCCAGUAGAGAGUCCAGAAAGUGUGUUUGUUGUGCUGCUGCUCUGUCGCGUGUAUGUUGGGGGAGGGACUUUCUGUAGAAAGCAUCUGAUUGGCCAGAUUUGGUGUAGAGUCCUCAAUACAGUAUGAGGAGACUUUAGAGGUAAAUGAUGAUAUUUACAGUGUUUAAUUGUGUUUAGUGACAUUUAAAGCCCCACAAGCAGCUGUAAGAUCAUUUAAAAUAUGGUUGAUGUGUUUGACUGAAGAAUAAGCAGGUUUUUUACAUUUUGAACAAUGAAAUAUAAUAAUAUAUCAGCAUAUGAUGUAGUUUGAAUGUAUUUUGAAUCAUUUACAUUUGAUAUUAAUUAUUUGUGUUUAUUUAGAUUUUUUUUUCAAAAUGUGUAAAUGUGGUCAUCCUUACACUGGAGAAAGAAGUGUGUGUUUGUGUGUGUGCUGAUGGUGUAGUGGUCAGAGCACACAGCCUGAGAUGUGAAGUUCUCACAGUAUACCUGGGUUCAAAUCUGAGUCCUGUUACUGCUCUUUACUGCUGAUCUAAAUACAAAAAA
Molecule: non-coding RNA, 4650 nt
Organism: Danio rerio (zebrafish)
Lineage: Eukaryota; Metazoa; Chordata; Actinopteri; Cypriniformes; Danionidae
Source: RefSeq, a predicted model, not a curated record